UUUCCUUCUUUUUUAUUCUUGUUCUUUUUAUAUUUCUUGAAAUUUCUCUCUACUCUUCGUACUUUGUGAUGUAAACUACAUAUUUUCAUUCAUAAGCUCUGAAUUAAUCUGAAGGUGCGAGCUCAACUUGUGGCGGAUAGUCUGGGAGAACAAAUCUCGUACCUUUUUAAUGGCAACUAUCAUGUCAGUGUUUGGCUUUUAGUCCUUCUUUCUUGGUUGUGAUUUUGUAUAUUUGUUCCAGAUAAACUGAUUUAGGCUUUGAUUAUAGCCUUUUUAUCCUCCUAAGGAUUUCUUCAUUUAUGAGUCCUUCUAUGGAGGGAGCUCGGCCUUUCUUUUUGGCCUUUGUAUCUUGAUCCUUUAAGGAUAUGAGUCUAUCUGAGCUGAGAGCCCGGUCUUGGGCCUUUGUGAAUAUUGGUCCGAGCUGGGAGCUCGACCUCUUC
This 440-nucleotide long non-coding RNA is filed under the name Manihot esculenta (cassava). RNAcentral's name for it is "long non-coding RNA (MESC_LNC002745)". The record is from RNAcentral. Lineage: Eukaryota; Viridiplantae; Streptophyta; Magnoliopsida; Malpighiales; Euphorbiaceae.